Molecule: ribosomal RNA, 1466 nt
Filed under: uncultured Bordetella sp.
Lineage: Bacteria; Pseudomonadati; Pseudomonadota; Betaproteobacteria; Burkholderiales; Alcaligenaceae
Description: partial 16S-23S ribosomal RNA intergenic spacer
Rfam family: Bacterial small subunit ribosomal RNA
Source: RNAcentral
GGUUCGAUCAUGGCUCAGAUUGAACGCUGGCGGGAUGCUUUACACAUGCAAAGUCGAACGGCGCACGGACUUUCGGGUCUGGUGGCGAGUGGCGAACGGGUGAGUAAUGUAUCGGAACGUGCCUAGUAGCGGGGAUAACUACGCGAAAGCGUAGCCACGGUCGCGCUAUCGCCCUCGGGGAAAGCGGGGACCUUCGGGCCUCGCACUAAUAGAGCGGCCGAUAUCGGAUUAGCUAGUUGGUGGGUAACGGCUCACCGGCAUAGACGAUCCAGCUGGUUUGAGAGGACGACCAGCCACACUGGGACUGAGACACGGCCCAGACUCCUACGGGAGGCAGCAGUGGGGAAUUUUGGACAAUGGGGAAACCCUGAUCCAGCCAUCCCGCGUGUGCGAUGAAGGCCUUCGGGUUGUAAAGCACUUUUGGCAGGGAAAGAAACGGCACGGGAUAAUACCCCGUGCAACUGACGGUACCUGCAGAAUAAGCACCGGCUAACUACGUUACCAGCAGCCGCGGUAAUACGUAGGUAAGCGUUAAUCGGAAUUACUGGGCGUAAAGCGUGCGCAGGCGGUUCGGAAAGAAAGAUGUGAAAUCCCAGAGCUUUGGAACUGCAUUUUUAACUACCGAGCUAGAGUGUGUCAGAGGGAGGUGGAAUUCCGCGUGUAGCAGUGAAAUGCGUAGAUAUGCGGAGGAACACCGAUGGCGAAGGCAGCUCUCCUGGGAUAACACUGACGCUCAUGCACGGCGUGGGGAGCAAACAGGAUUAGAUACCCUGGUGUCCACGCCCUAAACGAUGUCAACUAGCUGUUGGGGCCUUCGGGCCUUGGUAGCGCAGCUAACGCGUGAAGUUGACCGCCUGGGGAGUACGGUCGCAGAUUAAAACUCAAAGGAAUUGACGGGACCCGCACAAGCGGUGGAUGAUGUGGAUUAAUUCGAUGCAACGCGAAAACCUACCUACCCUUGACAUGUCUGGAAUCCCGAAGAGAUUUGGGAGUGCUCGCAAGAGAACCGGAACACAGGUGCUGCAUGGUUGCCGUCAGCUCGUGUCGUGAGAUGCUGGGUUAAGUCCCGCAACGAGCGCAACCCUUGUCAUUAGUUGCUACGAAAGGGCACUCUAAUGAGACUGCCGGUGACAAACCGGAGGGAAGGUGGCCGAUGUCGUCCUCAUGGCCUCUUAUGGGUAGGGCUUCACACGUCAUACAAUGGUCGGGACAGAGGGUCGCCAACCCGCGAGGGGGAGCCAACCAGAAACCGAUCGUAGUCCGGAUCGCAGUCUGCAACUCGGACUGCGUGAAGUCGGAACGGCGAAAAUCGCGGAUCAGCAUGUCGCGGUGAAUACGUUCCCGGGUCUUGUACACACCGCCCGUCACACCAUGGGAGUGGCUCACUGAAGAAGUAGUUAGCCUAACCGUAAGGAGGCGAUUACCACGGUAGGAUUCAUGACUGGGGUGAAGUCGUAACAAGGUAG